Trichonephila inaurata madagascariensis is the source of this 73-nucleotide non-coding RNA. NCBI's taxonomy places the organism in Eukaryota, Metazoa, Arthropoda, Arachnida, Araneae, Nephilidae. The record is from the annotation of a GenBank genome assembly.
GUCCUUGUAGCGCAAUGGAUAGCGCGUAGGACUACUAAUCCAAAGGUCGUGGGUUCUAAUCUCACCUAGGAUG